CCUACGGGAGGCAGCAGUGGGGAAUUUUGGACAAUGGGCGCAAGCCUGAUCCAGCAAUGCCGCGUGCAGGAAGAAGGCCUUCGGGUUGUAAACUGCUUUUGUACGGAACGAAACGGUCUGGGUUAAUACCCUGGGCUAAUGACGGUACCGUAAGAAUAAGCACCGGCUAACUACGUGCCAGCAGCCGCGGUAAUA
RNAcentral lists this ribosomal RNA (195 nucleotides) under uncultured bacterium. RNAcentral describes it as "partial 16S ribosomal RNA". It matches the Rfam family "Bacterial small subunit ribosomal RNA", at positions 338 to 525 of the family's 1533-position model. The record is from RNAcentral.